This 2381-nucleotide long non-coding RNA is filed under the name Malus domestica (apple). RNAcentral describes it as "long non-coding RNA (MDOM_LNC011677)". Lineage: Eukaryota; Viridiplantae; Streptophyta; Magnoliopsida; Rosales; Rosaceae. The record is from RNAcentral.
GAGUUGUUCAGAUCCAGAAAGCUACAGCCUCAAAUAUUUACCCUAACACACAGAAAAAUCCUAGAAAAAGAAGAAGAGAAAAAAACCCUAGAAGCACGAUGGGUCGUGUGAUACACGAAGAGCAGGAUCAGAAAUACAGCUUGAUAAACUUUGAGGAGACAGAACUGCGUCUGGGGUUGCCUGGUGGAAUAUUAGGCACUGCUGGAAAGGAUGCUGAAGCUUCCAAGAACACUGGAAAGAGAGGGUUUGCUGAAACUGUUGAUUUGAAGCUCAAUAUUUCAUCUGAAGAUCAAUCGGCUGGUGAUGAAGAUCAAGCGGUGGAGAUGAAGGAGAAGAAUGUUGCUCCUGUUCCUAGGUCAAAUGAUCCAACUAAGCCUCCUGCUGCCAAGUAAGUUCUCUUUUUACCAAAUUACUUGUUUAGUUUUAGUAUUACUUAGUGUGUUAGUUGAGUAUUACUGUGUCAGUUGAGACGGUACAAAUAAUUUUCAUCGAGUAUUACUUACUGUUACUCGAGUAUUUUUCUAUUAGUUUAGACGAUGCAAAUGGUUUUUAUCUACGGAAAGACGACAGUAAAAUUGUGAAUUAAUUAAGUACGUGCUCAUAAAACGAGCACUUGUUAAGUUGACUAAAGUUAUAUAUUAUUUCUCUGUACCAAGUUAAAAUAUAAAUCGCUUGUUACAACUCAUGAAACACUAACUUAGAAAAUCAUUUUGUUUGAUACAUUCGUUUUUUGGUUUUAUUUUCCAUGGAUCACAUGAAUCCAGAGAAAUAAUUGCCAUGAGUAUGGACUACGUACAAUGUUUACAUUACGUAUUGAAUUAUAGGUAUUUUUUGAAUGGUUAGGUUGGUUGUCGGGAAGACUAAGGAAACCAACAAAACAUAAGGAAUCUUAUUUUGCUUUUUUUUCUCAACCACUAAACAUGAAUUAAGGACAACUCAUCAAAAGUAAAACAAGAUAGACAAGAACAUUACCGUAUACACGCGUAUAUUAUUGAUUAAAUUCUAUGAGUACCAAAGAUAUACUAUAUAAUAAUAGUUGAUAAAGUUGUCAUGUUAUACCUGGAGAUAUAUAUUAGUAAAACAAUUUAUUGUGGAAAUAACCUCUUUGUAAAGUAAGUAUAAGUCUGCAUGCAUAAACGUUCUUCUACCGACCUUUGUAAAGUAGAAAGCUUUGUUGGUUUGAAAUCGCCUUUUACAUGUAAUAAUAUGAGUAAAAUAGUAACGACAUGUUACAUAACUAUACUACACAUUAUUGUAUUAUUACAGGGCUCAAGUUGUAGGUUGGCCCCCUGUCCGAUCAUUCCGAAAGAACAUCCUGACCGUCCAAAAGAAUAGCUCUGAGGAGGGUGAAAAUACCAACAGCAUCAGUGCAGCAUUUGUUAAAGUCAGCAUGGAUGGCGCACCCUACUUGCGUAAAGUGGACCUGAAGUUGUACAAAAGCUACCAAGAGCUUUCUACUGCCUUAAGCAAAAUGUUUAGCUCCUUCACCAUUGGUAAUUUAAUUAAUUAAUUAAUCAUGCUUAGUUUAAUUACAAGUAACACAAUUUUUUUCAUACCUUUGGAUAUUUAGUAACAUACAAGUGAUAAAGCAAGUGGUACUCUAAUUGAUAGGGUUUUUUUCUUCAACCCACUGUUUUUCAGUUUCAUAGCCUUGUUUUAUGGUUUGUGAUAAAUUAAUAAAAACCAAGGAAUAUAUUGCUUAGAAGUAGUUUUUCAUACCCUCCUUUCCUCUUAGUAAUUUACAAGUGAUAAAAUUUUGCUUAAUUUUGGAAUAUUGAAGGUAACUGUGGGUCACAAGGAAUGAAGGAUUUCAUGAACGAGAGCAAACUAAUAGACCUUCUGAGUGGUUCUGAGUAUGUGCCUAGUUAUGAGGACAAGGAUGGAGAUUGGAUGCUUGUUGGAGAUGUGCCAUGGGAGUAAGUUUUUUCUUAACAUUAUACAUAUACAUAUAUAUUAGUCGAAUUUAAUUAUAUCUAGUUCAAAAUUAGGCUGCACAUCACUUGAAAUUAUGAUGAACCACACAUCACUAAAUUUAUCUUGGAUGGUCACAGAAUGUUUGUCAAUUCAUGCAAACGCCUGCGAAUAAUGAAGGGAUCUGAGGCUAUCGGACUUGGUUAGUGCCUUAAAUUAAAUAUUUCAUGAAAACUCAGAGUAAUUUGUAACAAUUUCGGUUUUUAAUUUUUUAUUGUACGAAAAUUAGAACUUAUUCGGCAACUGUUUUCAGCUCUCAGUUUUUAAAAUCAAGCAAAAUUUUAAAAAGGGAAAACAGUUGUCAAAUAAGUUUAAACUAAAACUUAAAAUAAAAUGGUUGUCUUCUUUUAAUUUGGUCUAAUUUUUUCCACUGUAUUGCAGCACCAAGAGCGGUGGAGAAGUACAAGAAC